This 69-nucleotide transfer RNA is filed under the name Craugastor rhodopis (polymorphic robber frog). RNAcentral describes it as "tRNA-Trp". It matches the Rfam family "tRNA". From Rfam's summary of the family: Transfer RNA (tRNA) molecules are approximately 80 nucleotides in length. Their secondary structure includes four short double-helical elements and three loops (D, anti-codon, and T loops). Further hydrogen bonds mediate the characteristic L-shaped molecular structure. tRNAs have two regions of fundamental functional importance: the anti-codon, which is responsible for specific mRNA codon recognition, and the 3' end, to which the tRNAs corresponding amino acid is attached (by aminoacyl-tRNA synthetases). tRNAs cope with the degeneracy of the genetic code in two manners: having more than one tRNA (with a specific anti-codon) for a particular amino acid; and 'wobble' base-pairing, i.e. permitting non-standard base-pairing at the 3rd anti-codon position. The record is from RNAcentral. Lineage: Eukaryota; Metazoa; Chordata; Amphibia; Anura; Craugastoridae.
AGGAACUUAGGAUAAUUAAACCCUGAGCCUUCAAAGCUCAACAUAGAAGUUAAACUCUUCUAGUUUCUG